UUCCGUUGGUGAACCUGCGGAAGGAUCAUUACCGAGUGAGGGCCCUCUGGGUCCAACCUCCCACCCGUGUUUAUUUUACCUUGUUGCUUCGGCGGGCCCGCCUUAACUGGCCGCCGGGGGGCUUACGCCCCCGGGCCCGCGCCCGCCGAAGACACCCUCGAACUCUGUUUGAAGAUUGAAGUCUGAGUGAAAAUAUAAAUUAUUUAAAACUUUCAACAACGGAUCUUUUGGUUCCGGCAUCGAUGAAGAACGCAGCGAAAUGCGAUACGUAAUGUGAAUUGCAAAUUCAGUGAAUCAUCGAGUCUUUGAACGCACAUUGCGCCCCCUGGUAUUCCGGGGGGCAUGCCUGUCCGAGCGUCAUUGCUGCCCUCAAGCCCGGCUUGUGUGUUGGGCCCCGUCCCCCGAUCUCCGGGGGACGGGCCCGAAAGGCAGCGGCGGCACCGCGUCCGGUCCUCGAGCGUAUGGGGCUUUGUCACCCGCUCUGUAGGCCCGGCCGGCGCUUGCCGAUCAACCCAAAUUUUAUCCAGGUGACCUCGGAUCAGUAGGAUGCCAUUCC
This 556-nucleotide ribosomal RNA is filed under the name Penicillium commune. RNAcentral describes it as "eukaryotic LSU rRNA". The stretch from base 208 to 360 matches the Rfam family "5.8S ribosomal RNA". Lineage: Eukaryota; Fungi; Ascomycota; Eurotiomycetes; Eurotiales; Aspergillaceae. The record is from RNAcentral.